GCCUUCGUAGUGUAACGGUAGCACACUUGGUAUUCGAGAGGUCCGGGUUCAAGUCCCGGCAAGGGCA
RNAcentral lists this transfer RNA (67 nucleotides) under Stegodyphus mimosarum. It matches the Rfam family "tRNA". Rfam says of the family: Transfer RNA (tRNA) molecules are approximately 80 nucleotides in length. Their secondary structure includes four short double-helical elements and three loops (D, anti-codon, and T loops). Further hydrogen bonds mediate the characteristic L-shaped molecular structure. tRNAs have two regions of fundamental functional importance: the anti-codon, which is responsible for specific mRNA codon recognition, and the 3' end, to which the tRNAs corresponding amino acid is attached (by aminoacyl-tRNA synthetases). tRNAs cope with the degeneracy of the genetic code in two manners: having more than one tRNA (with a specific anti-codon) for a particular amino acid; and 'wobble' base-pairing, i.e. permitting non-standard base-pairing at the 3rd anti-codon position. Lineage: Eukaryota; Metazoa; Arthropoda; Arachnida; Araneae; Eresidae. The record is from Rfam by way of RNAcentral.